This 29-nucleotide non-coding RNA is filed under the name Mus musculus (house mouse). The record is from RNAcentral. Lineage: Eukaryota; Metazoa; Chordata; Mammalia; Rodentia; Muridae.
UGCUUACCCAGACCCACGCCAGCACUGCC